CAACCCACACAACAGCUCAUUCAGUAUUGUGUAGGCCAGAUGAAAGCACAAAGAGAGAAGGGUACAGGUCCUGCCCCAGUUUGGACACUCAAGGCAGUUGCACCUUGGAAAAAGAAGUACACAGAAGCAAGCUUCCAGCUCUUCGCUAUUUUCCUUCCACUGCUUUGCUUGUGAUGGCAUAUAGAGCUGUGCAAAAAUUGCUCUUCUUCUAGAGGAUGGAUAAAGAAAGUGUUGCAGCAUCAACCUAACCAGGCUCCAAAAACCGGUCCCGACGCAGCUGUAGAGGCAAAGGAAGGAUAUAAAUGUCUAGAAGCUGAUUCUUGUUGAAAUCUGCGUGCAGCUCUGAGCAA
Molecule: long non-coding RNA, 350 nt
Organism: Tympanuchus pallidicinctus (lesser prairie-chicken)
Lineage: Eukaryota; Metazoa; Chordata; Aves; Galliformes; Phasianidae
Exons: 2
Source: RefSeq, a predicted model, not a curated record